GAGGGUGUAGCUCAGUGGUAGGGUGCCUGCCUAGCAUGUGCAGGCCCUGGGUUUGAUCCCCAGCACCAUAA
This 71-nucleotide transfer RNA is filed under the name Marmota monax (woodchuck). It matches the Rfam family "tRNA". From Rfam's summary of the family: Transfer RNA (tRNA) molecules are approximately 80 nucleotides in length. The record is from Rfam by way of RNAcentral. Lineage: Eukaryota; Metazoa; Chordata; Mammalia; Rodentia; Sciuridae.